CUCCUAGGGGCUUUGCGAAUGAAAGAAAAUAAAAUAUCUGUCUGGGAGGCUGCUGAGCUCCUAGAAGGCAGCAACAAGUUUUGGCUCCCUCCCACUGUGGGACUGCCGGGGAUGGAGUCAGAACAGCCUCACUCACAUCCCACCCUGGUAUCCCAGGAUCAGCCCAGCCUCACUCACAUCCACCCUGGGAUGCCCAGGAUCAGCCCAGCCUCACUCACAUCCACCCUGGGAUGCCCAGGAUCAGCCCAGCCUCACUCACAUCCACCCUGGGAUGCCCAGGAUCAGCCCAGCCUCACUCACAUCCACCCUGGGAUGCCCAGGAUCAGCCCAGCCUCACUCACAUCCACCCUGGGAUGCCCAGGAUCAGCCCAGCCUCACUCACAUCCACCCUGGGAUGCCCAGGAUCAGCCCAGCCUCACUCACAUCCACCCUGGGAUGCCCAGGAUCAGCCCAGCCUCACUCACAUCCACCCUGGGAUGCCCAGGAUCAGCCCAGCCUCACUCACAUCCACCCUGGGAUGCCCAGGAUCAGCCCAGCCUCACUCACAUCCACCCUGGGAUGCCCAGGAUCAGCCCAGCCUCACUCACAUCCACCCUGGGAUGCCCAGGAUCAGCCCAGCCUCACUCACAUCCACCCUGGGAUGCCCAGGAUCAGCCCAGCCUCACUCACAUCCACCCUGGGAUGCCCAGGAUCAGCCCAGCCUCACUCACAUCCACCCUGGGAUGCCCAGGAUCAGCCCAGCCUCACUCACAUCCACCCUGGGAUGCCCAGGAUCAGCCCAGCCUCACUCACAUCCACCCUGGGAUGCCCAGGAUCAGCCCAGCCUCACUCACAUCCACCCUGGGAUGCCCAGGAUCAGCCCAGCCUCACUCACAUCCACCCUGGGAUGCCCAGGAUCAGCCCAGCCUCACUCACAUCCACCCUGGGAUGCCCAGGAUCAGCCCAGCCUCACUCACAUCCACCCUGGGAUGCCCAGGAUCAGCCCAGCCUCACUCACAUCCACCCUGGGAUGCCCAGGAUCAGCCCAGCCUCACUCACAUCCACCCUGGGAUGCCCAGGAUCAGCCCAGCCUCACUCACAUCCACCCUGGGAUGCCCAGGAUCAGCCCAGCCUCACUCACAUCCACCCUGGGAUGCCCAGGAUCAGCCCAGCCUCACUCACAUCCACCCUGGGAUGCCCAGGAUCAGCCCAGCCUCACUCACAUCCACCCUGGGAUGCCCAGGAUCAGCCCAGCCUCACUCACAUCCACCCUGGGAUGCCCAGGAUCAGCCCAGCCUCACUCACAUCCACCCUGGGAUGCCCAGGAUCAGCCCAGCCUCACUCACAUCCACCCUGGGACUGCCCAGGAUCAGCCCAGCCUCACUCACAUCCCACCAAGAGCUGAGAGAGCCCUGCCUGUGCACUGAAGGGAGCUGUGUUUCGUGUGCUGAAGGAAAUGCAGCACAUCUGUAAGUUUUGCAGGGCCAGAGGCUGAAUCAUGAACUGCUGCUGCAGGAUCCAGCCCUGAGCUCCUAAGGGAAGGGUCCCCAGCACCAGGAGCACCUGGGACACACACCCUGCUCCCUGCCAAAACUUCUUCUGCACAGAUUUU
Ficedula albicollis (Collared flycatcher) is the source of this 1591-nucleotide long non-coding RNA. Lineage: Eukaryota; Metazoa; Chordata; Aves; Passeriformes; Muscicapidae. The record is from Ensembl.